This is a long non-coding RNA of Puntigrus tetrazona (Sumatra barb), 514 nucleotides long. RefSeq lists it as uncharacterized. The record is from RefSeq and is a predicted model, not a curated record. Lineage: Eukaryota; Metazoa; Chordata; Actinopteri; Cypriniformes; Cyprinidae. The transcript is spliced from 4 exons.
UGGACCCUCCAGAAACUUUACAGUCUGUCACAGCUGAUGAAGAUGACGACGAAGAGACCACAUCUGCUGUGACAGAAGUGGACAAUGCUGGUAGAUCCACUGAGUACACACCUAGGGAUUUGCCCACAGAUGAGGGUCCUUCAACCUCAGCACACAAUCUAAGCAGGAUAACAAUUUGUCUCCAGGAAAUAAAGAAAUAAACUGCCUGGCAGACCAGUGCAAAAAAAAUAAUAAAAGUAAUUUUGACAGAUUCUGUCUCUGAAAAGUCGUCUGUCUCUGUUGGCCUGUAAAAUCUGUAGGUGUUCCUCUGGGCCAUCUUCCUCAAUACAAGGAGGGUGGCUCUUUCCUCUUAUAGUGGCAAUAUUGUGAAGCACAACACAAGCCACUAUAAUGUCGCAUGUAACCCGGAGCCCACGCAGACACUGAAACUGAGAUAUGAGGAUCCCUAUAGUCAUCUCCACCUUGGCCCAUGUUCGGCUGUGAGCCAGGUUAAACUGUAUCUGUGGUCCAGGCU